Non-coding RNA from Tachysurus vachellii, 375 nucleotides. The record is from the annotation of a RefSeq genome assembly. NCBI's taxonomy places the organism in Eukaryota, Metazoa, Chordata, Actinopteri, Siluriformes, Bagridae.
AUGUUCACUGUUAUAUUCAUGUAUCUGUGGCUUUCACUAGGUGACUCCAUGGCAGAUUCAAUAGAGCCACUUUUCACUCAGAAAGUUGUAGAUGAAGGUGAUGUUACUCUGUCCUGCAGAUACAAAUUCAGCAGUGGUACAAACAACAACCUUCAGUGGUACAGACAAUAUCCAAAAUCUAAACCUGAGUUCAUUCUUAAUAUUCUUCCAAGUGGAACUCUACUUUCCAACACUCAGCCAAGAAUGUCUGUUAAAGUUGAUGAUAAACAAGUGGAUCUGAUCAUCUCCUCUGCUGCUGUAUCAGACUCUGCUCUAUACUACUGUGCUCUGCAGCCCACAGUGACAGGAAAUCCAGCUGCACUGUACAAAAACUAA